CAACCAUGGGGAGGUUACCUGAUUCAGGAAGAAUGGGCAAUUAAACAUGAAUUUGAAGAUUGCUUUUUUGAGGUAGGCCAGUCUCACUGACAAAUGAUCAUCUACCUGGAGACAAAGGAGGUGUUGGUGAGUUGGUGACAUGGGUAUAAUCUGAGCCCCAGCAGUUUAUUUCACUGGCUCUCUGCAUUGUGUUUUUGAGACCUUCAAAGUCUCAGUAUUAUCCUGUUAGUCUCACAUUGUCUUGGCCUCUGUGGUAUGUAAAUAAAGUCAGCAUAGGGUAUUCUGAAAGUUGAGGGUGUCGAGGAUGUCGUAAGAGUCUUGGUUCUCCCAGCAACAGAUCUUGAGAUCAGGAUUCUAAUGCAGGUAGUUUACUUGGGAGAAGAUCCUAGGAAACACUAGAGGAGAGUGGGGAAAUGGUGCGGGAAAGGGAGGGAAGCCAAUACAAGGUGCAUUUUCAAGGCUCUUACUACUGUGGGAAACUGGGGUUUAAUCUCUCUGGGGAACUCUGGAUGCUAGUGUAGAACACACGCCUCAGAGUUAUUCCACUCAACAGAGUGCUUACAAAUCUAGCUUUACUUUGAAUAACAUAUGCCAUUGCAGCAGAUCUGAAUAGUUAAAAUAUUAACACAUCCCAUUUACUUAU
RNAcentral lists this long non-coding RNA (643 nucleotides) under Pan troglodytes (chimpanzee). RNAcentral's name for it is "long non-coding RNA NONPTRT011360". The record is from RNAcentral. Lineage: Eukaryota; Metazoa; Chordata; Mammalia; Primates; Hominidae.